This 371-nucleotide ribosomal RNA is filed under the name uncultured organism. RNAcentral describes it as "bacterial SSU rRNA". It matches the Rfam family "Bacterial small subunit ribosomal RNA", at positions 527 to 896 of the family's 1533-position model. The record is from RNAcentral.
GGGGGGUGCGAGCGUUGUCCGGAAUCACUGGGCGUAAAGGGCGCGUAGGUGGCGUGAUAAGGGUGUGGUGAAAGCCCGGGGCUCAACCCCGGGUCGGCCAUGCCGACUGUCAGGCUCGAGUGCUGUAGGGGCAGGCGGAAUUCCGGGUGUAGCGGUGGAAUGCGUAGAGAUCCGGAGGAAGACCGGUGGCGAAGGCGGCCUGCUGGGCAGUUACUGACACUGAUGCGCGACAGCGUGGGGAGCAAACAGGAUUAGAUACCCUGGUAGUCCACGCCGUAAACGAUGGGUACUAGGUGCCUGGGGGAGCGACCCCCUGGGUGCCGGCGCUAACGCAGGAAGUACCCCGCCUGGGGAGUACGGCCGCAAGGCUG